Molecule: long non-coding RNA, 402 nt
Filed under: Triticum aestivum (bread wheat)
Lineage: Eukaryota; Viridiplantae; Streptophyta; Magnoliopsida; Poales; Poaceae
Description: long non-coding RNA (TAES_LNC026057)
Source: RNAcentral
GUUGUAAGCUCUGAGCCGGACAAAGAUGCUAGCUGAAAGCAGAUAUAGUAUCUACUACCUCUGUACCAAAAUACUUGUAGUUGGGGGAACUUGUACUAGUUUCCUCCAACUACAAGUAUUUUGGUCGGAGGGAGUAUCUAUCUAUUCAAUGCAAGGAUGAAGAGUUUACACAAGGAUAUGUACUUCUACUUCCGAUGGUGAUAAUAAGCAGCAAGGUGAAAUCCACACGGAGGAAAUAGUUGGACUCCCAGAACAUUUUUCUGUAUUCUAAAGUUUUGUCCUCGACCAUUAGGGAUAUUUUUUUUUUUGCUGGGUUACAUUUGUAUCAGUUGUAUGCAUGUGUUGUUGUACCUGAAACCCUGAUGCAAUCAUCAAAUAAUUUGUACGUUGGAUUCAAGCAUC